GAUGAACGCUGGCGGCGUGCCUAAUACAUGCCAGUCGAGCGAACGGACGAGAAGCUUGCUUUUCUGAUGUUAGCGGCGGACGGGUGAGUAACACGUGGAUAACCUACCUAUAAGACUGGGAUAACUUCGGGAAACCGGAGCUAAUACCGGAUAAUAUUUUGAACCGCAUGGUUCAAAAGUGAAAGACGGUCUUGCUGUCACUUAUAGAUGGAUCCGCGCUGCAUUAGCUAGUUGGUAAGGUAACGGCUUACCAAGGCAACGAUGCAUAGCCGACCUGAGAGGGUGAUCGACCACACUGGAACUGAGACACGGUCCAGACUCCUACGGGAGGCAGCAGUAGGGAAUCUUCCGCAAUGGGCGAAAGCCUGACGGAGCAACGCCGCGUGAGUGAUGAAGGUCUUCGGAUCGUAAAACUCUGUUAUUAGGGAAGAACAUAUGUGUAAGUAACUGUGCACAUCUUGACGGUACCUAAUCAGAAAGCCACGGCUAACUACGUG
This 497-nucleotide ribosomal RNA is filed under the name uncultured bacterium. RNAcentral describes it as "partial 16S ribosomal RNA". It matches the Rfam family "Bacterial small subunit ribosomal RNA", at positions 28 to 507 of the family's 1533-position model. The record is from RNAcentral.